This 802-nucleotide long non-coding RNA is filed under the name Capra hircus (goat). RNAcentral's name for it is "lncRNA (ENSCHIG00010016798.1)". Lineage: Eukaryota; Metazoa; Chordata; Mammalia; Artiodactyla; Bovidae. The record is from RNAcentral.
UAUACUAUACAAAUAUAGAAGUACUCUGAAGUCAUAUUACUGAGCUAGUAUCAUUUAGGUUCCAUAUUUCCUUUAACAUAAAACAGAAAAUUGUAGCUUUUGCAUUUGGAAAGAGUUUAUGUAAAAAAGACAACCUGGAACUCAUGAUCAGAAUCAAAGCAGCAGACUCCUGGUCAGAAUCAAAGAUUGGCCCAGCAUCAAAAGAUUUGCUAAUGAACGUAUAAUGACAGAUUUUUUUCGUAAAAGUAAAGCGCUUAAAUUAUAUAUGUAUAAUUUUUUUUUCUUACAUUUUCCUACUUUAAGUUUGUAGAUGAACUAAAGGACUGCGCAGCUUCAACUCUCUAAGAUAAACUUCCUCUCUUCGUGUGGUUGUCAACUGUGGCAGGUUCAGUGUUUCUCCCACUACAUGAUAUUCUAAGUCAGCAGAGGGCCCUAAACUGGUAACCAGUUUCCAUAAAUUAGAUCAUUUUCCUCUUACAUUUUCUUUUAAACAUUACAGAAGAGAANGCAAAAAUCAAGGCAAUCAACUUUUGGGGAAUUUCUUACAAAGUGAUGCUUUGUUUCAUUAAACAUUCUGAUUCCACCUUACAAAGCCUUUAAUGAUCAACUUUCCUGCACAGCAGCACACUCUCAUCAGACUCUAGUUUAUGUUCUUUAAGACAGAGCAUAAACUAGAAAGCUUAACUUCUGAUUUGGUUUCCAUUUCUGGGAACACUUUAAAACNAAACAAAACACACAUUCUUGGAAUGCAGUCUCAAGGAGACUGUUAUGGGGUGAUCCCUGGGUCCCACAGAAAAUAUUU